Molecule: long non-coding RNA, 1530 nt
Filed under: Astyanax mexicanus (Mexican tetra)
Lineage: Eukaryota; Metazoa; Chordata; Actinopteri; Characiformes; Acestrorhamphidae
Description: lncRNA (ENSAMXG00005019050.1)
Source: RNAcentral
ACUUAUUAAAAAAUGGCGUUCAGACCUUAAUAAUUAUCUUUUCUCUAAAUAAUUCUUUUUUUUCUCUUCAGGUCCAGAUCAUUUGCUAAUGCUCCUCCUGAACGUGUUAAAUUCGAAAGCAGAGAGCUGAUUGUACACGUACCUUUGGAAUACGUACUUACUGGAACUCAGUCAGAUAUAUGGGUAGAAAGGCAAAAAGACAAUAUAAAUUGUUCCUCCAACAAGACCACUGUCAUCCUUAAACAUUUAGUCAAAUAUAGUUCCCCUGACAUACAGAAAAAGGUAAGGUCAGCUGGAAAUCUGAUGCUAAGCUGGCCCAAAACAGAAGAUAACAAAGGUGCGAUUCAUGAGAUCAGAUGGAAGAAGAUUAAUGCUUCAUGGCAGAAUGACACUUUUGAGACUGAGGACAAUAAAACAGACCCAUGGGACUCCUACCGUCUGCCGUUGCAGAUCCACUCAGUGUACCAGGUCCAGAUUAGACGCAAGACCAAGCAAUACCACAUCUGGAGUGAGUGGAGCAACACUGUUGACGUUCCUGUCGAAAUUAAAGCACCCGUUGUCCACUGGAGACAAGAAAAGAAAAAAGGCAGGAGGAAAGUUACUCUCAAAUGGGAUGUUCCACCUCCUGAAGCCAGUUCCAGUGGUGUCACAUAUAACCUGACUUUAAAUUUUCCUUGUAAAACUAAAAAUAAAACCACAAAAGAGACGUCUUACAGCUUGACAGCAGCUGAUUCUGAACUUAGGGUGUCUAUCAUUGCUAUCAAUGACGUAUCCACAUCACCGUUUCAAGAGAUUAUCAUACCACCUGUCCAGCAUUUAAAACGUAAGUAUUGUUGGAAAUGUGUGUAUGCGUGUGUGUGUGUGUGUGUGUGUGUGUGUGUUUGUGUGUGUGUGCAACUGACAGUCGAGUAAAACUCUGAUUCACAACAAUAGCUGCCAGCAUAUGUCCCGGACGAGCCCCCAAUUAUGUUACGGCCUGGAAAGCCAGACCAGUAACAUAUGCUAGGACGACAUAGUUGGUUUCACUCAAUUUUGAAUCAACAACAUAAGGACCGGUAAACCGAGCCUGUAAAGCAGAACCCACAACUGGUAGCAACACAAGUACCUUAUCACCCUCACUGAACGUGCGGGGUACAGACUUUUUAUCGAACCUCUUCUUCAUUUUCUCCUGAGCUGAACCCAGCUGUGUCUGAGCAAAUUUACAAGCAUGCUGAAGACGGUCACGAAACUCACUAACGUAAUCCAGCACGUUUGUCGACACAUAUCUUUCAGACAACAACUCUUCGCGAAGAAGCCGAAGUGGACCUCUAACCGUGUGCGCAAAAAUUAAGUCCGCAGGACUAAACCCUAACGACUCUUGCACGGUCUCCCGGAUCGCGAACAGCAACAAGGGAAUACCCUCAUCCCAUUCCUUACCUGUAUCUAAACAGAAAGUGCGCAGCAUGGAUUUUAAUGUCUGAUGGAAUCUUUCCAAAGCGCCCUGGGAUUCAGGAUGCCAUGCGCUAGAGAACUUAUGCUCAAUGCCGAGCU